Molecule: unclassified non-coding RNA, 161 nt
Filed under: soil metagenome
Description: partial internal transcribed spacer 1
Source: RNAcentral
CCGAGUUUACAACUCCCAAACCCCUGUGAACAUACCAUUAUCGUUGCUUCGGCGGACCACCCCGGCCCCUACGGGGCGAAGGGCCCGCCAGAGGACACCUAAAAUUCAAAUGUAUUUUUGCCCUGAAACUUUUAUUCUGAGUGGAAUUUUUAAAUAAAUCA